UGCUGCUGCUGCUGUUGCUGCUGCUGCUGUUGCUGCUGCUGCUGCUGAGCAUGCCUCUGCAGUAGGAGUUGUUGCAUCUGCAGUUGCUGUUGCUGUUGCGGUUGCUGUUGAUGCUGUGGUGGUUGAGCUUGCUGCUGCUGUUGUUGCUGCUGCUGCUCCCGCGCUUUAAUGAACUGAGUCUCGAUAUAAGAUGCAGCAACCUCUGAGUGCUUCUCAUUUGUCCUUGCAAUAAAUAUAUCCCAGAAAACUGACCACCAUUCAAAAAGAAAGCCUCCAGGUGCAUCAAUAGCUACAGGAUCAGAUGAUACUUUUCCCUC
This 317-nucleotide unclassified non-coding RNA is filed under the name Hevea brasiliensis (rubber tree). Lineage: Eukaryota; Viridiplantae; Streptophyta; Magnoliopsida; Malpighiales; Euphorbiaceae. The record is from RNAcentral.